GGGAUUAUAGCUCAGUUGGUUAGAGCGCCACGUUGACAUCGUGGAGGUCAUAGGUUCGAGCCCUACUAAUCCCA
This 74-nucleotide transfer RNA is filed under the name Clostridiales bacterium. Its description in RNAcentral is "tRNA-Val". It matches the Rfam family "tRNA". From Rfam's summary of the family: Transfer RNA (tRNA) molecules are approximately 80 nucleotides in length. RNAcentral also lists the same sequence under 3 other names. The record is from RNAcentral. Lineage: Bacteria; Bacillati; Bacillota; Clostridia; Eubacteriales.